UGGAAUUGAGACAUGUGACAUGUUAAGAUGAGUGUUGUCUGUGAUUUCCUCUUCGCUUUCCAGAAUCUCUGUCCAGGGGAACGAACGAAGAAUAACGACGUAUUGGAUUGGAUGAAGAAAGUCAUGAUUGGAGCCAGCUGCGGUUGUCCUUGGCGACAUGGGAAGAGUGGAACUCGACAAGAUUGACAAGCGCGUCGCGGUGGGAGGAGUGAAGGGGAGUGUGAGAGACGCGCUAGGCACGGAGUGAGAUCCACGCGAGAAAGAGGAAGAUGACGAGAAGGAAUGGGAUGGGGUAAGGUCGCUGGAUGAACCAGGUGAUGAUAGAGGGACGGGUCUAUUGGGACGACGUCGUUUGGGAGUUUAUGAAGCUCAUUCUUCUCUGCGUCGCCAUUGUGUUGUUGUUCUUCUCUCUUUCUCUCUCUCUCAUUCUGCGAUUUUCGAAUUCGAUUUGGAAAUGAAAGUGGAAGAAGUCGAUUUGUUGUUCCUCUCUCUUUACUCUUUAAUUUCAUCACUAUAUUCGUUCCCUUCUUCUUCUUCACCGCAAAUUACAUUUUCACAGUGUUCGCCGCAAGGUUUAUUAUCUCCCGCAAAUGAUUAUUUUACCUUUUUACGCCAAUAUUUUAGAGACUAUUGUUGUUAUUUCAUAUUACAUUUCGUAAUUGUGCUUAAUCUUUGGUUAAUGAUAUAUGUUGUGUUAGCCGGUUAGGUUUUCAUGGUGUGUUGUGGAAUAUGGACCAAAACACAAUUGUUUUCUAGGUUUUAACUUUAUUUUUUUGUUUUCCAUCGUUGUCUUCGUAGAAUAUCUUCGAUGGCAUCCCAAAUUAUCUUUGAGUAGUCUGGAAUCAAUACAUUCGCCCAUGCUACCCAGACUAAGUUGCUUGAGCUCUUGGGAAAACUUAAACAAGAGGUUUUGUUUUUAUUUACCCUCUUCAAUUAUACCUAAGUUUAUUGACACGUCACAUCUCUGAAUCCCACCUCUCUGCCACAUAAGUAGCAUUUGACAUUGUAAGGUGCGAUUUAACGGAAAGGAUCAAUUUGUAUAUAUUUUAAAAAAUAUAGGGACCAAAUUGAUUUUUUUUAAAAUCACAAACCUAAAUUGAAUAUUGAUCCUAAAUAUAGGGACGAACAAGGUAAUUAUACCAUAAUGAUUUAGAAUAAGAUGUAGUAUACUCGUCUUUUAUUAAAUCUAAAGAAAAGUUUUUGUUUUUAUAUGAAUAUUUGAAUACUUAUAGGUUCUUUGCAUAUUUAAUGACAUAAACUUUGAUUUCAAAAGACACCUUAUAACCUUUAUCUAACCGUGAACAAACACUUAAUUUUUUUUAUUAAUCUUAAAAACAUAUAAAACAUAAAAAAUGAAUUUGACACUUGAAUUAAUUUUAAUUUCCUUUCAAAAUAAGUUGUUUUUCAUUCCCAAAUUUUGCUUUAGAAGUAUUGUUGAACUCUUUGAAAAGUUCUAGAUCAUGAGUCAUGUCAUGUGAUUUGUACAAUCAAUACCUAUAAGCCAAUCUUUAAUAGAUUUGUUCAUUGUAACACACCAUGUUGCAAGAAUGUUAGGAUUUGCAUAUAUUUUCUACAUGUCCCAAUUGACCACAUUGGUGUCAAUUCGCAUUUGGCCUCCACCAACAUUUGUUGUGUUGAUGAUUAUUUUUCUUACAAAGGGAGAAAAUGGGAAAACGCUUGUAUUGUAGUUUUAGUUGUAUUUGCUCAUUUUCUAGUUCUUCACUUUGAAAGCUCUUUCGAUAAUUGUUGGAGAUCCCACAUUGACUGGAGAUUAAGACAUUUCAUAGUAUAUAAGUGGGUGCAAAUUUCACCUUAUAAGUUGGUUUUAUGAGGUUGAGUUAAGCUUAAAGUCCACUACUUAAUAUGAUAUCAUGAAGAGCUCUGUUGCGCUCACUCUGGUUCCCUCUUUCUAAGUUUCUUAUUUUUUUUUGUAUUUUCUUAUACUGUUCUUUUGCGUUUUCUAAUCUCUUUUUUCCCUUCUUGUUUGUUUUGCAUUUUUUAUUUUGUUUUACAAUGGCUGAUCAAAACUCUGAUCGAAGCGAAAACCCUAACCCUGAUCAGAAUAAGAAUCCAAUUCAAGGUGAUAAUCUUGUUCACAACUUCUUGUAUUUGAACCCUAAUGAAAAUCUUGUGACUCCUCUUGUUUUCCCUAUUCUCGAUUCAACAAAUUAUCAUUCUUGAAGUCGUUCGGUCCUCACUGUGCUAAGUGCAAAGAACAAGGUAGAAUUUGUCAAUGGUGUAAUACCUUAACCUUUAGAAUUUGAUCCUUGAUUCUCGUCUUAGGUUCGCUGCAAUAAUUUGGUGGUAUCCUGGCUUGUACAUUUGGUUUCGGUCCCCAUACGAAAAAGCAUCAUAUGGAUGGAUAAGGCACUAGAUAUCUGGAACGAUCUUAAAGCCCACUACUCACAAGGCGACCUGUCUCGCAUUUUUUAUCUUCAAAUGGAGGCUUCCUCUCUCAAUCAAGGUGGUCUUUCUAUUACUGAUUACUUCAUUAAGCUUAGGGUUAUAUUGAAUGAAUUAGAUAAUUUUAAACCUGACCAUGUAUGCUCUUGUAAUGGUUUCUCUAUUAUUACUCAAAGAAAAAGAGAGGACCAAGCCAUGCAAUUCUUACAUGGCCUAAAUGAUCAAUACAAUAACAUAAAAGCCCAUGUCCUUCUUCUGAAACUUGUUCCUGCCAUUACUAAAAAAAAAUUCCCUUGUUGUUCAGCAAGAACGACAACUCAAAAAUAGUGUUUUGAUUGCCAAUAUAAAAAAUAGUAACCCUACUACUCAUACCAAUGUUGUCACCUGUUCUUUUUUUGUGGAAAAUUGGGUCACAAUGAAUCUGUUUGUUUUAAGAAAAACAGUUUUCCUAACCCAGAGGGUAAGAAACCAAAAUUUGGUAGUAACAACAGAAAAGUCUAUACAUAUUGUAAUAAGAUUGGGCACACUGUUGAUGUUUGUUACAAGAAACACGGGUAUCUUCCUAGGCAUAGAUCUCAGUAUGGAAAAUCCACUCAAAUCAACAAUGUCAUCACCUAAGAGGACAAUUCUAGUAAACAAGAUCAGACUAAACACAAUAAUGGUGGUGAUUCUUGCAUUCAAUUUUUUUGAAGAAUGUGAAUGUCUCUAAUGGUCAAGCUCAAGUGAACCAGGUUGGUUCCAUUUCUGUUGAUCUUCAGGAUCAAAACUCUACUGUCACAGGUAACUUUUAUAGACUCAAAAACCUUACUUUCAAUAAAUAUGCUUGGAUUCUAGAGCAGCAAACCAUGUUUGUUUUUCUUUGUCAAACUUUGCAUCAUAUAAUCAAAUUAAAUCGAUUGUUGUUAAACUUCCCAAUGGUGAUUCUGUUACUGCCUCUCAAUUUGGUACAGUGGUUUUCAAUGACAAUUUUAUUCUUAAAAAUGUCUUAUAUGUGCCAGAUUUUUCAUUCAAUUUAAUUUCCAUAUCUCAAUUAACUACAUCUCCUAAAUGUGAGCUUAUUUUUUCCUCUACUGAGUGUUUGAUACAAAAUCCCAGAACCAAAGACAAGAUUGGUACAAUUAAUAUUGUAGUAGGUUCUGAUCAAGAGUGAUCAAGAGCUUUGAAGAAUCCAAAUCCAAGGUGUUUGAUGAAAGGCUGGUGUUGCUGCUGUGUGUGGGUGGGAUCUGGGUAGAUUAAAGUGUGAUACACUCUUUUGUAGAAUCUAAAACUGAUGUGAAUUGAAACCUUUUUGAAAUUAAAUGUUUUUCCAACUAAGUGAAAAAAAUCCUAUUGUUUUGUCGAAUCAACCGGUUGUUUUGCUCUUAGAGGUUUUGAAAAAGGUUGAAAGUGUUGAUCAAGAGUGAUCAAAUGCUUUGAAGAAUCCAAGUUCAAGGUGUUCGAUGAAAGGCUGGUGUUGUUGCUGUGUGUGGGUGGGAUCUGGGUAGAUUAUUUUGUAAUCCACUCCUUGUUUGAAUCUAAAGCUGAUUUGAUUUGAAAACCUUUUUAAAAUAGAAUGUUUUUCAACUAAAUGAAAAACAACCUGUUGUUUUGUCGAAUCAACCGGUUGUUUUACUCUUAGGAGUUUUGGAAAAGGUUGAAAGCUAUUUGACUUGGUUGACUAAACUGUCAAAACAAAUCAAUUGGUUGUUUUGUGGUUUCAACUGAUUGUUUCUUUGAAAAUCCUAACAGAAUUCCGUUUUUGAUUGGUGAAUCUAUUUUAAAUGAUUUCUAACUGAAUACGCUCCUUCAUUAAAUUUUUUGACCAAUCUUUGAAAAAUAUAAAUAGUUUGUUAUAUGUUUCUAAAGAGUAAGAAACAGUUUUGAGAAAUUCAGUUUGACAUAUUUGAUCUCAAGUUUUCAAGAUUCACAUCAAGCUUUGGAUUUUCAAGAGAGAGUAGAAUAGGAUUGCAAUUGUAAUCUUUUCAGAUUGUUCUAUGAUCAGGUGUAAUCCUUUCUCAAUCUUUUGGAUUUCUGUUGUUGGAUUGCCAAUGAGUGUUGUGUGUUCUUGAGGUGUUCAAGUAUCAAUACUCUUGGUGUGGUUUGCCAAAGGUAAUGUUGUUUUUUGAGGGGUUCAAGGUCACUACUUUGGUGUGUGGUGUUUUGUAAUCUGGUUUGAUUGCUUAGUGGAUUACCCGUGGUUUUUGGGAACUGGAUGUAACUCUUGUUGUAAGAGUGAACCAAUAUAAACUGUUUGUGUGCUUUUCUCUUUCUCUUAACUCCUUUGAAUUAUGUUUUUAAGCUGUUUGAGUUUUAACUGGUAUAAACAAUCGAUUGAUUCGAAGAAACAACUGAUUGUUUUUUUGUGUUUUGCUUUAAAACAGUUUGAGUUCUUGGCUAACUUGAUUCCUCUUCUGGAUUUCUACACAAAAUUUCUUUGAACCUUCAAAAGUUUUUGAAAUCUCUUAUAAACAAUUCACCCCCCUCUUGUUUAAGGCCAUAUAUGUUGAAGAUGGAAAGCUUUGAUAUAUCAAAUCCUCAUGGAACCUGAAGCUGUGCUGCGUUUUAGGUUUGGGUUUAGUUAUGGGGUUUAGAAUCUUUGUAAGAUCAGUCUUGAUUCCUACAGAAAGCUUGUUUCAAUCUAUUUUAAAGAACUAAGUGUUUUUCCAUGCAAAGGGAAAAACAACCGAUUAAAGUUUCGAGACAAUCAGUUGCUUGUCACUUAGCUGGGAAAGGAGUUUUGAAACUGUUUUUUAAAUCAGUUGUGUAACUGUUGAAACCAUUCAACUGGUUAUAUCGUGGUUUCAACCGAUUAAAAGUGAGUUUUCAUAACAGUAUUUUGAAAACCUGUUUUAACUAAUUCAAUUGUUCAAAUCUGCCUUAAACGGUAGUUUUUUCAAAGGUUAUAAAUAUAACCUUCUUUAAAAAAUUUCACACAUGAGAAAGAUACAAGUUUUACACUUUGAUUUGAGAUAAAAAAAAGAGAUUACAAUCUGUUUGUGAAAAGGAGUUUUCCAAAGUUUAGCAAGAUUGCCUUUGAGAUUUGCUGUGAUUCAAGAAUUGAUCAUAGGGCUUAUGGUUUACUGUAAUUCCAUGUGUUUUCUACCCUUUCUUAGUUUCUUAUAAUUGUUCAUAUUACAUUCUGUAAACAUGUUUGUAAAAUCCUGUAAAGUCAAUGUGACUCUGGAUUAAGGUGUGUGUUGUGUGCAAAGAGGGUGAGUAGGUCUUGUGGUUUCAAGAUCACCUUUUUGUGGGUGUUUAUAAUAUGUGUUUGGUUACAUAGUGGAAUACUCCGUGGUUUGACUGAGGACUGGAUGUAGCUCAGGGUUUGAGUGAACCAGUAUAAACCUUGUGUGUAAAUCUCUCUCUCUCAACUCUCUAACUGUUUGAUAUUUUCGCUGCCAUAAACAACUGAUUAAAUCGUGUUUUUAACCGAUUGAAAUUCUGAUAUCUGUUUCUGUUAGACUGUUUGAUUGACUUUCUGAUAUGCUUAUUUGAGUUGUUUGUUAAAGAUUCAUUCUAAAGUAAAGUAAUUGCGAAAAUCUUUUAGAAACAAUUAACCCCCCCUUGUUUAAGCCAUCAAUUCUAACAAUUGGCAUCAAGAGCUAAGUUCUUGUAGUUACCUAAGUUUUCGAUCCUAAAUCUUUUUUUCUAUGGCUGAAAAACUACCUUUUGGGGAGGGUGCCUCAAUUAACAGGCCACCCUUGUUUUGUGGUUUGAACUAUUAGUUUUGGAAUGUUAGAAUGAAAAUCUUUGUUGAAUCUCUUGAUAAAGGGAUUUGGGAUGCAAUUGAAAAUGGCCAUUUUAUUCCAAAAUUUGAAAAGGAAGGUGCUUCUAUUGAAAAACCUUGGUCCCAAUGGAUUGAUGCUGAAAAUAAAAAGGCCAAAUUUGAUUGCGUUGCCAAGAAUAUCAUAACCUCUGCUUUGAACUCUGAUGAAUUUUUCAGGAUCUCUCAAUGUGCAUCGGCUAAGGAAAUGUGGGAUACUCUAGAGGUCACCCAUGAAGUAACAAAUUAUGUGAAAAGGGCAAGGAAACAUACUCUAAUACAAGAGUAUGAAAUGUUCAGAAUGCUCAAAAGAGAAUCAAUUGUUGAAGUGCAAAAGGGAUUCACCCACAUAGUCAAUCAUCUAAUGAUCUUGGAAAAAUCUUUGACAAGGAGAAGUUGAACUUCAAGAUUCUAAAGCGUCUUGAUAGAUCUUGGCAACCAAAAGAUACUGCCAUCUCUAAGUCUAAGGAUUUGACAUCCUUAACCACAACCUCCUUGUUUGGAAAGCUUAGAGAACAUGAGUUGGAGAUGAAUAGACUCAAUGUUCAAGAAAGUGAAGACAAGCAUGUAAGGAACAUAGCCUUGAAAGCUUCCAAGAACAAAAAUAAGCCAGACUCAAUGAUGAGAAUAAAAAAGAUAUUAUCAAUAAAAGAAAUGGACAAGGGCCAAAACAUUUAAAGUUCUUCUUAUUAGUCUUUGCAAAAGAUGAGGCCCAAGCCCAAAGCCCAAGUCCAAACCAUGAGGGGCAAGGCCAAACAUUAAAUAAAAGAGCAUAAUUUGAAUUACUUUUGUAUAGUUGUAGGAGGUAUGAAUAUUAAAUAAAGAGUGUGAAUAGUUAGGGGGUGUAGACGCAUUUUAGGAGGUGCUGAAAAUAGGAAAGGAGUCACACUUACUUCAUGACUAGGUGACACCAAUUUGCAUUUGAAUUUGGAGGGAACUUUGAGUCUCAUUUGUGUUUCAUUUCAGCCCUCUUCUAUUAUAAAUAGAGAGGUUGAGCUCUUGUAAAUUCAAAAUUGGAUAAUUGAUAUAGAGAAACUCUACUCAUUUGGAGAGAGAUUUGUGUGAGAUUUGGAUCUCCUUGCUUAGUCUCAUCUUGUGAGCUUUUGGAGAGCUUCAAGUGGCGGCUUCCUUCACUCAUCUUGGGACUCCAUCACCAAGUGGCGUGAGCAACUCCAAUUCCCAUUCNNNNNNNNNNNNNNNNNNNNNNNNNNNNNNNNNNNNNNNNNNNNNNNNNNNNNNNNNNNNNNNNNNNNNNNNNNNNNNNNNNNNNNNNNNNNNNNNNNNNNNNNNNNNNNNNNNNNNNNNNNNNNNNNNNNNNNNNNNUAGCUUUGUGUUCUUAAUUCAAUUUUGUUUCGAAAUCUUAUUCCAUGGAUGUUCACAAGGAGAUAACACUCUUAUUUGAGUUUGGAACAUCAUUUGGACGACUAUGUCUCCAAUGAUGAUUCCUUAAGCUUCCUUGAGUCCAAUUUUGUUUUCAGCAUUCUGUUUUGUUCUUGCUUUCCUUUCAAUUCCGCCAAGUGUUUGUGAUAAGGACAUGGCACUCAUUGUUCAAUGAGUUUGGCUUCUCUCUUGGAUGGCAUUAUCCUCCAUUGAGAUGACCUUAAGUCUCCUUAAUGUUGUGUGUCUUGUUAAAGUGUCUAUCCAGCUCAUAUCACUCAAGUGAUGGAGAAACUCUAAGUUUGCUAACCAAAAAGUUCAGCAAAUUUUUUAAGGGAAACCGCAACAAAGAAUCCAACAAAGAAAGGUAUGGAAACAAGAAAACUAGUGAUUUUAAUCCUAACAAUUACACUUGUUUUGGUUGUGGAGAACAAGGGCAUAUGAAAGUUAAAUGCCCAAAUAAAGAAGGCAAGGAAAAGAAGUCAAGCAAGAAAGGGAAAUCAAAAAAGGCCUACAUUGCUUGGGAUGAAAAUGAAGUCUCCUCGUCAAGCUCCUCAUCAAGUGAAGAUGAAAAAGCCAAUUUGUGUUUGAUGGCAGAGGGAGAAGAUGAUUCAAGCAGUGUAAGUUCUUGUGCCUCUUUAAAUGCUGAAAACUAUAGUCAAUUGCUUCAAGCUUUUAAAAAGAAACUCAUGAGGAAGAUAAUUGAUUUGCUCUCUUGAACAACCGGUUGAAAGGGUUGAACAACUGGCUUGAAAAUAGAGUCAAGACACUUGAAUAAGAAUUGGAAAAUUCAAAAACUGAUUUUGAAAAUCUUGAAAUGCAUUGCAAAAAGUCUUAUUGUUUGUGGCACUCAAAAGCUUGUGAAAAUUGUAAAACUCUUGAGAGUAAAGUCCACUAUCUUGUAAGAACUGUGGAUAAACUUUCAAAGGGUAAAUCUAUCUUUGAAACUGUCUUGGCAUUCCAAAAAUGUAUUUUUGGAAAAUCUGGUUUGUGGUUUAAUCCUCAAAACAAGAAAAAUGGGAUUUCUAAGCCUUUUUCAAAAGUGUCAGAAAAACAACCGAUUGAAAAAUCGAAACAACCGUUGUUACACGUUUUUACUGCAAGAAGAGAGGUCACUCUGUAGAUUCUGUAAAAUUAGGAGAUAUUCUGUUCCUAAAGGUAUUAUGAGAUGGAUUCCCAAAGAUUCUAAAGUUCCCAGUGAUAAAUGUAAAUCAAUAGGACCCACCUUUGUAAGGGGACCAAAUCUUGUUGUUUGAAUUUAUUGUGUUGUAGGAAUACUAAGAGAAGCAUGGACUCUUGAGUCAUCAGAUCAAGCUUUUGGAAGGAAGAGAUCUUGUCUGGAAUUGAAGUGAGAAUACUGUAUCAGCUUAACUCUUCUUAAAAGCCAAAAAAUGUUCUCUUGAUCAUACACUAUGACUCAUUGAAGAGGCUCUAUGACAAAAGGAUAAGGCUUUCUUUGUUUCUAUUGUUUGUAUUUUCUUAAUAUGUGUUAAAUCUUCAUCUAAACUGUAAUAUAUGUAGUGCAAAUACAUCUUUCUUUUUCUGCUAUUGAAAAUUCCAAUUUGUUGUUGCUUCAGAAAAACAACCGAUUGUUUUCUCGAAACAACCGAUUGUUUCUCCUCUGACAACACUACAUAAAAUUCAUUUAAUUUCUUUAUGCAUUCUAUCUUUUACAAAUUUCAAUCUUAAAGGAACUAUGAGUCAAUAAAGCAGUCAUAAGAGUCUGAUUUGGUUCAGGAGGAGGUUACUUCUUGUCAUUAAAGGAAUAUAUUCCAUAUCUUGAAAAUUCAAGUGCCUUUAUGACUAGUCAAAUUCACAUGUGCUAACCAUGUGUUUUUUUGUUAUGGGCUGAUGUAUUUAUUGUGCAAGCUUGGACCAGAUUCCUCUUCUUGAAGACUGAAACCCACUGCAACCAAAGGAUCAAAGAGGAUUUCUCUUUUGCUAUAAAACCCUCUACAGCUUUUUUUCUUCACAAAAACAACCCAUUGGCACAUCUCUUGCUGCAUCUCAUAUUCUUCUCUGUUUUUCUUUUUCUCUCAUUCUGUUAUCAUGGAUUCUACUCCUCCAUCAUAAAAAAAGAUUAAAACCAGGGUUGUAAGAACAUGGGGACGUCUUGAAGGCUGGUUUUCAGGAGACAAUGAGUUGAUUGAAAAAUAUCGCUUUGAAACAAGUAGAAAAGUGAUAAACAACCCUAAAGUUGUCUCUUUAAGCUGGUUGAAAAGUCAAAAACUCGAUGAUGUGAGAAAUCUUCUCAAAGGGCAAUUGCUAAAGAGGUUCUUGGAGAUGAAAAGGAACAUUUAUCCUGAUCUUAUUCGGGUUUUCUACACCAACUUGAAGUUUGAUGGCAACAACCUUGUUUCUCAUGUCAAAGGUGUGGAUAUGGAGAUUACUCAUGAGGUAUGGACUGCUGUAACUGGUUUAAAGUAUUCUGGAUUGAGAAUCAACAAAGGGAAUAUUGGUGUGGUGGAAGAUUUCAACAAGAUUCAGUAUUAUAGAAGUUGUUUGAAGAAUCCUCAAGCACAAGAAUGAACUUGUUUUGUGGGAGAGUUGGAGUUGAAUGAAAGGUUGUUGGCUCUCAUUGUCACUUGGAUUCUAACACCAAGAGGGAGCACUCAUUUUGUUCUCACUGAGGAAGAUCUUGUCUACAUAUACUGCAUUAUGAGCAAAGUCAAGAUUAAUUGGAUCCAUAUCAUCAAGGAACACAUGCAGAAAUCUAGGAGGUUAAGUGACUAUCAUUAUCCUUAUGCUACCUUGAUUUCUAAAUUCUUAAACUAUUUUGAAGUAGAUCUUGAGGAAGAAACAUCUGAAUUGGUGAAAUCAACACAGAAGUGAACAAUGGUUCACUAAGCAAGAUGGGUUUUACCAAGAUUGGUGGAAGAUGGGUAGGCAAGGAUGGUGAACAAGGUGGUUCCUCAAGUGGUGCACAUGGUGAACAUGAUGAAGAAGAUCAAGAAGUUGUUGAAGGGGCUGAUGAUGAUGCUCAAAAUGAAGAUCAACCUGCUGCUGACUUAGGUGCUAGAAAUGAAGGAAAUAGAAUUCUCUCAAUGUCUCAUUUUGAGAGACUCAUGGUCAAUAGGUUGGACAACUUUGCUGAAAAUAAAAGGAAUCUUCACGAUCUUUGUGCUACAAACUUCCAAAACUUUGACAACAAAUUUCAAAGCAUGGAUACACAUUUUCAGACCCUUGAUGAACAGAUUGAAGCUGUUCAAAACCAACUUUUUGAGCUGCAGUAUGGGAAAGAAAAUUGAAGCCAAGUUUUGUUAUUUUUACUAUGCUUAUAUUGCUUUUUUUGAACUAUUUUUUUUAUCUCUUCGAAAUUCUAUUUGUGAAGACAAAUAGGGGGAGAAUAUGGUUUAUGUGUUGUCUUAAAACUGCUAUAACCUGCUAUAACUCUGAUUUAAGUUUCUACUGCUUAUGAUGUUUGAUUUGGUGCUGCAGUUUGGUGUGUUUUGGCAUAGUUUGUGGCUGGUUUUUCUACUCUUGUGGUUAUGUAGAAAACUAGUUUAUGUGUAACCAUAACUUGCUAUUAGAGAUGCUCUGGAUUGCAUAGUUUCUGUUUAUUAGGAGUGGUUUUAGAUUCAAACAAGAUCACCACAAGCAACCAGAGAUUUGUCUUCAUCAAAUAGGGAGAGAUUGUUGAUCAAGAGUGAUCAAGUGCUUUCAAGAAUCCAAAUCUAAGAUGUUUGAUGAAAGGCUGGUGUUGUUGCUGUGUGUGGGUGGGAUCUGGGUAGAUUAUUUUGUAAUCCACUCCUUGUUUGAAUCCAGAACUGAUUUGAAAGCCUUUUUAAAAUAGAAUGUUUUUCAACUAAGUGAAAAACAACCUGUUGUUUUGUGGAAUCAUCCGGUUGUUUUACUCUUAGGAGUUUUGGAAAAGGUUGAAAGCUGUUUGACUUGGUUGACUAAACUGUCACACCAAAUCAAUCGGUUGUUUUGUGGUUUCAACCGAUUAUUUCUUUGAAAAUCCUAACAAAAUUCUGUUUUGGAUUGGUGAAUCUGUUUUAAAGGAUUUCUAACUGAAUACGCUCCUUCAUUAAAUGUUUUGACAAAUCUUUGAUAAAUAUAAAUAGUUUGUUAUAUGUUUCUAAAGAGUAAGAAACAGUUUUGAGAAAUUCAGUUUGACAUAUUUGAUCUCAAGUUUUCAAGAUUCACAUCAAGCUUUGGAUUUUCAAGAGAGAGUGGAAUAGGAUUGCAAUUGUAAUCUUUUCAGAUUGUUCUUUGAUCAAGUGUAAUCCUUUCUCAAUCUUCUGUAUUUCUGUUGUUGGAUUGCCAAGGAGUGUUAUGUGUUCUUUAGGUGUUCUAGAUCAAUACUCUUGGUGUGGUUUGCCAAAGAUAGUGUGUUUCUUGAGAGGUUCAAGGUCACUACUUUGGUGUGUGGUGUUUUGUAAUCUAGUUUGAUUGCUUAGUGGAUUACCCAGUGGUUUCUGGGAACUGGAUGUAACUCUUAUUGUAAGAGUGAACCAAUAUAAAAUGUUUGUGUGUUUUUCUCUUUCUCUUAACUCCUUUAAAUUUUGUUUUUAAGUUAUUUGAGUUUUAACUAGUAUAAACAACCGAUUGAUUCGAAGAAACAACUGAUUGCUUUUUUUUUCUUUAAAACAAUUUGAGUUCUUGACUAACUUGAUUCCUCUUUUGGAUUUCUACACAGAAUUUCAUUGAACCUUCAAAAGUUUUUGAAAAUCUCAUAUAAACAACUCACCCCCCCUUCCUUUAGUUUAAGGCCAUAUAUUCGAACAGAAAGCUGUUUCACUUGGUUGACUUAACUGUCAAACCAAUUAAAUCGGUUGUUUUGUGGUUUCAACCGAUUGUUUCUUUGAAAAUCCUAACAUAAUUCAGUUGUGAAUGGUGAAUUUGUCUUAAAUGUUUUCAAACUAAAUACGCUCCUUCAUUAUAUGUUUUAACCAAUCUUUGGAAAAUAUAAAUAGUUUGUUAUAUGUUUCUGAAGAGUAAGAAACAGUUUUGAGAAAUUCAGUUUGACAAAUUUGAUCUCAAGUUUUCAAGAUUCACAUCAAGCUUUGGAUUUUCAAGUGAGAGUGGAAUAGGAUUGCAAUUGUAUUCUUUUCCGUUGUACUUUGAUCAGGUGUAAUCCUUUUCUCAAUCUUCUGUAUUUCUGUUGUUGUAUUGCCAAAGAGUGUUGUGUGUUCUUGAGGUGUUCAAAAUCAAUACUCUUGGUGUGGUUUUCCAAAGGUAGUGUGUUUCUUGAGGGGUUCAGGGUCACUACUUUGGUGUGUGGUGUUUUGUAAUCGGUUUGAUUGCUUAGUGGAUUACCCAGUGGUUUCUGGGAACUGGAUGUAUUUCUUGUUGUAAGAGUGAACCAGUAUAAACUGUUUGUGUGCAUUUCUCUUUCUCUGAUCUCUUUUAAAUUCUGUUUUUAAGCUGUUUAAGAUUUUACUGGUAUAAACAACUGAUUCUUUCAAAGAAACAACCUAUUGUUUUUCUAUGUUUCUCUUUAAAACAGAUUGUGUUCUUGACCAACUUGAUUCCUUUUCUAAAUUUCUUCAUUGAGUUUCAUUAAACCUUCAAAAGUUUUCAAAAAUAUCUUAUAAACAAUUCACCCCCUCUUGUUUAAGGUCAUAUAUUCUAGCAGCAGGCCUAUAUGUUUUCAAUAAAAUGGACAGAAAAAGUAUGAGUUGUGCUACAAAACCAAGAAAUAUCUGGCAUCUUAGGAUGGGACAUCCUUCGGAAGAAAGGUUAAAGAUACUACAAACUUACUAUCUUGAUAUUAAAAUUGAUAGAAAUUACAUUUGUGAUGCUUGUCACUAAGUAAAAGAAAGAAAACUUUAUUUUUUUCCCUAGUAAUACUCGUACUAAUCAAUCUUUUGAAUUACUGCAUAUUGACAUUUGGGUUCCUUGCUCUGUUAUUUCCAUGCUUGGUCAUAAAUUUGUGAUGAUUACACUAGGUAUACUUGGAUUUUUCCUAUGCACAUUAGGUCUAAAGUCAGGGCUCAUGUUGUCUUCUCUUAUUCUGAUUGGUGUCUUGACCCUUUGGUUUGCAUGAGGAUGGUUUGAUAAAUUGACUUGUUGGGUAGCUGUGUUGUCCUUGGAAUUUUUCUUGGUUUUAAACCUAACACAAAAGGCUUUCUUUUUUUGAAUCUUAAAAACCAUAAGAUAGGUUUAUCCAGAAAUGUUGUUUUUCAUGAAAACUUUUUUCCUUAUCAUUCCAAAUGUAUUCAAAAUAAUUAUUCAAAUAUUUUUUAUUUGCAUAUCCCUCACAAUUACGCCCAGACUUAUGAUGAUUUAAUGUGCAAUAUGAAAAUAAUGUUUAUGAUGAUGUUUCUGAUAUUGAUGUUGAGAUUAACACUGAUGUUGAACAAAGGGAGAAUGUCAGUGCUUCCCCUAGACGCUCUACUCAUAGCAGAA
RNAcentral lists this long non-coding RNA (13876 nucleotides) under Phaseolus vulgaris (common bean). RNAcentral describes it as "long non-coding RNA (PVUL_LNC001617)". The record is from RNAcentral. Lineage: Eukaryota; Viridiplantae; Streptophyta; Magnoliopsida; Fabales; Fabaceae.